AACUGUCAAGCUGGGGGUGCCUUUCGUUUGGAAAGGUUGCCUCUGCUUGGUUAUUGGGUUCUGCCGUGUCCCCUGCACUUGUUGGGGAAUGGGCUAGCCUUAAAAGUAUCAGCUGACCUUGAUAAUCUACUCGGCGUAUUAAUGAUACAUGAACCGCAGAGGACAUUACAAUCUUAGGUUGCUUUCUAAUCUGGUAUUGGUGGUUCUUAGGAAUUCAUCAUCCAUCUUCAG
This 231-nucleotide unclassified non-coding RNA is filed under the name uncultured Clavulina. Its description in RNAcentral is "sequence contains ITS2". The record is from RNAcentral. Lineage: Eukaryota; Fungi; Basidiomycota; Agaricomycetes; Cantharellales; Hydnaceae.